RNAcentral lists this ribosomal RNA (301 nucleotides) under uncultured bacterium. RNAcentral's name for it is "partial 16S ribosomal RNA". It matches the Rfam family "Bacterial small subunit ribosomal RNA", at positions 509 to 807 of the family's 1533-position model. The record is from RNAcentral.
CAGUCGCCGCGGUAAUACGAAGGGGGCUAGCGUUGCUCGGAUUUACUGGGCGUAAAGGGCGCGUAGGCGGACAGUUUAGUCAGUGGUGAAAGCCCGGGGCUCAACCUCGGAAUUGCCUUUGAUACUGGCUGUCUUGAGUACGGGAGAGGUGUGUGGAACUCCGAGUGUAGAGGUGAAAUUCGUAGAUAUUCGGAAGAACACCAGUGGCGAAGGCGACACACUGGCCCGUUACUGACGCUGAGGCGCGAAAGCGUGGGGAGCAAACAGGAUUAGAUACCCCCGUAGUCCCUGUCUCUUAUAC